This 90-nucleotide signal recognition particle RNA is filed under the name Coriobacteriales bacterium. Its description in RNAcentral is "signal recognition particle sRNA small type". It matches the Rfam family "Bacterial small signal recognition particle RNA". Rfam says of the family: The signal recognition particle (SRP) is a universally conserved ribonucleoprotein involved in the co-translational targeting of proteins to membranes. Archaeal SRP consists of a 7S RNA and homologues of the eukaryotic SRP19 and SRP54 proteins. Lineage: Bacteria; Bacillati; Actinomycetota; Coriobacteriia; Coriobacteriales. The record is from RNAcentral.
GUUGGCUUGGGCGGCAUCAUGUUUCGAACCUGGUCAGGUCCUGACGGAAGCAGCCAUAAGGAGCCGCUGAUGAGCGCCCAAGCCUUCUGG